Molecule: long non-coding RNA, 331 nt
Filed under: Brachypodium distachyon (stiff brome)
Lineage: Eukaryota; Viridiplantae; Streptophyta; Magnoliopsida; Poales; Poaceae
Description: long non-coding RNA (BDIS_LNC004156)
Source: RNAcentral
UGCUUGUAUAUUUGGAAGUAGAAAAUUACCAAACUCCUGAAAUUGCGGUCUGGCCUAAAUAAAUUGAUACUAGUUGUAACAUGGAUCCAGCAAUCCUUUAAGAGAUUCGUCUCUAAAAAAACGUAAUCACCACUCACGCCCACGCUUCGUCUCCGAUUUCUUCAUUUCCUUUCGCCUCUACUCCUUGCACACGGGGAGGGGGAGAUGCUGGAUCAAUUUCCUUUGUAUCAAAAAAAAAAUACAUGUAAAAAAUCAUUUCAGAUGAUCAGUGAAGGCUAGCAUAUCAUAUCUCUUUUCUUUGCUAAUGAAAAUUAGAUGUGUUUAUGGUUUU